This 72-nucleotide transfer RNA is filed under the name Candidatus Woesebacteria bacterium CG06_land_8_20_14_3_00_39_27. RNAcentral describes it as "tRNA-Val". It matches the Rfam family "tRNA". From Rfam's summary of the family: Transfer RNA (tRNA) molecules are approximately 80 nucleotides in length. Their secondary structure includes four short double-helical elements and three loops (D, anti-codon, and T loops). The record is from RNAcentral. Lineage: Bacteria; Candidatus Woeseibacteriota. RNAcentral also lists the same sequence under 2 other names.
GGUCGGUUAGCUCAGAGGCAGAGCGUCGCGUUUACAUCGCGAAGGCCGCAAUUUCAAAAUUUGCACCGACCA